This 1372-nucleotide ribosomal RNA is filed under the name uncultured bacterium. RNAcentral describes it as "bacterial SSU rRNA". It matches the Rfam family "Bacterial small subunit ribosomal RNA", at positions 28 to 1381 of the family's 1533-position model. The record is from RNAcentral.
GAUGAACGCUGGCGGCGUGCCUAAUACAUGCAAGUCGAGCGAACGGACGAGAAGCUUGCUUCUCUGAUGUUAGCGGCGGACGGGUGAGUAACACGUGGAUAACCUACCUAUAGGACUGGGAUAACUUCGGGAAACCGGAGCUAAUACCGGAUAAUAUUUUGAACCGCAUGGUUCAAAAGUGAAAGACGGUCUUGCUGUCACUUAUAGAUGGAUCCGCGCUGCAUUAGCUAGUUGGUAAGGUAACGGCUUACCAAGGCAACGAUGCAUAGCCGACCUGAGAGGGUGAUCGGCCACACUGGAACUGAGACACGGUCCAGACUCCUACGGGAGGCAGCAGUAGGGAAUCUUCCGCAAUGGGCGAAAGCCUGACGGAGCAACGCCGCGUGAGUGAUGAAGGUCUUCGGAUCGUAAAACUCUGUUAUUAGGGAAGAACAUAUGUGUAAGUAACUGUGCACAUCUUGACGGUACCUAAUCAGAAAGCCACGGCUAACUACGUGCCAGCAGCCGCGGUAAUACGUAGGUGGCAAGCGUUAUCCGGAAUUAUUGGGCGUAAAGCGCGCGUAGGCGGUUUUUUAAGUCUGAUGUGAAAGCCCACGGCUCAACCGUGGAGGGUCAUUGGAAACUGGAAAACUUGAGUGCAGAAGAGGAAAGUGGAAUUCCAUGUGUAGCGGUGAAAUGCGCAGAGAUAUGGAGGAACACCAGUGGCGAAGGCGACUUUCUGGUCUGUAACUGACGCUGAUGUGCGAAAGCGUGGGGAUCAAACAGGAUUAGAUACCCUGGUAGUCCACGCCGUAAACGAUGAGUGCUAAGUGUUAGGGGGUUUCCGCCCCUUAGUGCUGCAGCUAACGCAUUAAGCACUCCGCCUGGGGAGUACGACCGCAAGGUUGAAACUCAAAGGAAUCGACGGGGACCCGCACAAGCGGUGGAGCAUGUGGUUUAAUUCGAAGCAACGCGAAGAACCUUACCAAAUCUUGACAUCCUUUGACAACUCUAGAGAUAGAGCUUUCCCCUUCGGGGGACAAAGUGACAGGUGGUGCAUGGUUGUCGUCAGCUCGUGUCGUGAGAUGUUGGGUUAAGUCCCGCAACGAGCGCAACCCUUAAGCUUAGUUGCCAUCAUUAAGUUGGGCACUCUAAGUUGACUGCCGGUGACAAACCGGAGGAAGGUGGGGAUGACGUCAAAUCAUCAUGCCCCUUAUGAUUUGGGCUACACACGUGCUACAAUGGACAAUACAAAGGGCAGCGAAACCGCGAGGUCAAGCAAAUCCCAUAAAGUUGUUCUCAGUUCGGAUUGUAGUCUGCAACUCGACUACAUGAAGCUGGAAUCGCUAGUAAUCGUAGAUCAGCAUGCUACGGUGAAUACGUUCCCGGGUCU